CCAAAGCACCAGGAUUUUAUCUUUCUGUACAAAUCUUUAAACUUUACACUAAGAACUAUUGUGCAGAAAUGUUUGUAGAAGUUUUCUAACUUGGCUUGGACUCUUCAGAUCCUGUGCAGGAAGCAUGGAGUUCCUUGCCAGGGAAUUUCCCGUGGGGCACUUAACCUCAUCUACUCCAUUUUGUAUUCCUCCUAUUCUAUCCUUGACUCCUAGAGAAACACCAAAUGGGCACUUUCCAAGUUACCAGACCUUUGAUUUUUAUCAUAAUCUUUUUGUCUUCUGAAAGAGUAGUUGCGAUUGUUAAGAUACAAAUAAUAGUCAAGGAUAAAAGGGGAAAAAAACUAAAAAUGAAUUUAAACAAGAAUUUUGUUCUAAAAUUAUUAAACUAUGAGCUUUUUUUCAUUAUCCAUACUUUAAGAAACUGAUUUUAAUGAUGUAUCAGAAAACUCAUUCAAGUCCACAAUAGGAGCCAAUUUGCUUGGAUUUCAAAUUUUUUUGCUGCCAUCAGAUGUUGAGAUGGGUCUGUUGUCUGAAAUAUCUUGACAACUUUUGUUUGUCAUUCUACAGGUGCUUUGAUGCUACCGCUGCUGUUGACACAAUACCAGAAAUGGAACCAUCUCAUCAUAUCUGGUGCUUUGGAACAACAGUAAUCGACCCUAUAAAGCAAGCUGCAAAACUCACAUCUAGUAGGGGGCCGCCCAACUCUCCAAAAUGAAUCAUUUUAUUUCAUUCAAUGGUAGCAUAUUCACAGCUGGACAUCACCAAUUUCCCUACACUCUACCAUGAAGCUAAGAGUGUUUUUAGAAAAAAAAUUGACAGAUUUUUCUUUCUGUCCAGAAAUAAACAAAUUGGCUUGCAACUGACUUCAAAGGAGUCAUGUUUUCUGACUGUGCGGAAAUCAUGUUGUACACUUCACACUUCACAGACUUAUUCAAAAAGGAAUAUGGAAUGAUCUGAUUCCAAAAUUUCAGCUCAACCCAUUUCAGUCUUGAAUUUCCAAUUCCAUUGUUCAAGGGGACAUGCAACAGUUACUAUAAAAUCAGUAUUUAAGAAUACAGUGAAAUAUAUAAAAACAGAAUGAAAAUAUGAGCUGAUAUUGGCACAAAAAAUUUAAACCCACACAUAGUUUUUUUCAUGGUAGCAUUUUCAUACAUUUUUUUUCAUCAUGAAGUCACAGAAAGUUCAUGAAAGCUCAUAUUCUAAAUCUCAUCAAAAUUUGAUAAAGAUGCAUACCAUAAAAUCCUUUGAAUGGAUUUAAAAUCGUGUUCAUACCAAAUCACAUUUUAAUUCUAUUUUUUUUGAGUUUUUUAAAGAUUUAUUUAUUUACUUGAAAGUCAGAGUUACACAGAGAGAGGAGAGGCAGAGAGAGGUCUUCCAUCUGGUGGUUCGCUCCCCAAUUGGCUGCAAUGGCCGGAGCUGUGCUGAUCUGAAGCCAGGAGCUUUUCCUGUGUCUCCCACACAGGUGCAGGGCCCAAGCACUUGGGCCAUCUUCUACUGCUUUCCCAGGCCAUGGUGGAGAGCUGGAUCAAAAGUGGAGCAGCCAGGUCUUGAACUGGUGCCCAUUUGGGAUGCUGGCACUUCAGGCCAGGGCGUUAACCCAUUGGAUCACAGUGCCAGUCCCUAUGUUUUUUGAGUUUUAUGUUCUCAUUUUUCAUUUUGAGGGGCUUUUGUUCUUUUUAUAUCUUUUUAUUUUUUGUUUUGUAAUUAUUCAUUUUUUUCCUAUUUUGACAUUUAUGUUUUUAUACCAUUUAUGAAAUGGUUGAUGUCUCCUGGACAAAUAACUAUUUUCAAUAUUCUGGAUAUCCUGAAGAUGAUGUUCAUUAUACCAUAUAUUACUUUUAUAAGAAUCUUCAGAAAAUCAUACAUUAAUAAUGAAAUAUUAUAACUUGAAGACAUAAAGAACAUAAGUGAUUCUCAGUUCCCACCCACUUUUAAAAGAGAGUAAGCUCAGUUACCUGACUGUAGAGUGCCAUGAUCACACUCCACUAAUUUGUUAUGUAGGAAAAUUUGGCAUUAUACUGUGUCCAGAGCAAAACGUGAAUCAUAGCAUCUUUCCAUAUAUGUCUUCUCGAUUUUAAUUCCUAUCUUAUUUUCAUCAAUGCGAAGUCAUUUAGGAAAAAUUCAGUAAUACAGUCCUUCAAUGAUGCCCAUAAACCUUCAAUAUCCAAAUCACAUUCCAGGACUCAAUGGGAAUUUUCAGAACAUCUGAGCUCCAUCAACAAUUUUGUAAGCAAAAUCAUCUGAAAUAUUCUUAAGUCACCAUAAAUUCUCUGAUUGAUUAGUGCAUCCAAGGGUGGGAAUGGACCUAGUAAAGGUGGUAAGAUGGCUUUGGGGUUGAUGCUUUUUAAAAUGAUUGGCUAAAGUAUAGGGUCUGAGCCGCUUGGGUGUAGGUGGCAAACCGCAGGGUUUCAGGAUGUCAUCAAGCACCUUAACUGCCUGAAAAGACACCUGGAACUUUAGGCAUUUCCCUGCUAUCUGCUGAUUGGCUGUUGCUAGGGGAGUUUAUCGCAGGGGAAGUUUAUUCUCUUUUCAGGAGCUUUUGGCUUAGGGUUCAGGCCCGAGUUACGAGAUGGAGGCCUACUCUAAACUAGCUGCACCUUGAUCCAGGCUCAGGUCUCUCAUUGGAAAUCUCUAUUGUUUUAAACAUAUUUUACUGAUGGCCCAUAUUAGUGAAUCUGUAAAUCCAGUGAAUGAUGUAAAAUCUUGUUCUCACACGCAGAGCACAUUACUUUGCUUAGUUUAUAGAAGACAUACCCAGUGAUCUGUGCACUUCUAUCUUUGUUCACCUAAAGAAUUACGCUGUGACUUCUUGGCUUCGAUAGUCAUUUGUACAUGAUUAAGGCUUUGAGGGAGGCCCAGCUCAGUUGGGUCAUUCUUCUGGUCUCACUGGGUCACUCGGGGGCCAGAAGACAACUGUGUAUUUCUCAGCUUCCUUUGAUUGCUACAUAGCCAUACACCAGGGGGGAGAUUGGAAAUCUUUUCUCACACAAAUUUCAUAAAGUUUUCCUAUAUUGCAGCUCCAUCUGAUUAUUCCCUAUUACAGAUAGACACUUGGACUCACUAGACCUUGGCUCCUAUAUUUUUUCCACUACCAGGAAUUACACUGGAGCUUUCAGUAUUCUCUGGAAAAUUUUAAAUUCUGUGGUAAAUGAUCAUGUUUUGUGGUAGUUCUAUUCUGCUUAAUGCCCACUAAAAUGUACAGGCAGCUCUUCAUAUCCUGUGGUUUCAGCCAAAUCCAGAAAGAGAAUAUAAGAUGCAAAGUUUCUCAGUUAUCAUUAUUCUCUGAAGUAUAAGUUCCAUUCCUUACAGAACAGUUAAUUUGUAGGAGGUAGUGUAGGAGAUGUAGAGGUCACUUAAAAGGAUAUGUGAGGGUGGCAUAAAUUAUAUGCAAAUACAGUUCUACUUGAUAUUGGGGUAGGAGCAUCUGUGGAUUUUGUUAUCUUUUGGGAUCAUGGAAUCAAUUCCCCACAGAUGCUGAGGGACAGCUAUCUAUGGGGGAAUGAAGAUGUGCAUAGUUCUUGGAAUAAAAGGAUUUCAUAUGUGUUGGUAAUAUCUUUACAUUUGAAAGUUGGAGAGAUAAGAGAGCACAUAUGGGAUUUCAGAGGGUAGCAGUAAGACAUCCAUUUGAUGCAUGAUGUUUUAGAUUAAUUGCAGCAUUAUUUUGAAGUUCUGAAAUACAUGAAGCAUUUCCAUUCAUGAUGCUAAAGUGGAGGAUACUAAUGGGAUCUCUUCUCAUUAGAGAUGACUGCAUGGUUGUGUGAAAAAUCUGAGACGACAACAAUUGCAGGAUAAAAGGGACAAAAAUAUAUGCCUUCACAAUGCAUCUAGGUUUUGAAUCAGGAAAGAAAUACCCUAAAGUCAAUCCUUCCAGUUGCAAAAGAAGGGACAGAAAAGGAGGUAAAGAAAAUCUGAGAUUCAAGGAAUUUGUCAAUUGCAACUCAUGGGCACGAUUCUUGCUAUAGGGAAACAGUUAAUAGUUUUCUCUCAGCACUCACACAGUAGAGACUUGAGGAAAGUAACUUACAUCUUCAUUUUGGAGAAAGAUCCUAGGGCCUGAACAACUGUAAAAGAGCACAACUCUUGUACUGACUUAUAAUGACUAGAAGGCAAUGAGUUUUUCAGUUUAUCAUCUUUAUGGUAGCUGUGAGAAAGAUAGUAUAAUCAGCAGUCUAUGCUUAGUGAUGUGAUAAGAUUAAACAUUUCCAUCAGCAAAAUAAAGGCCCUUGGGAUGAAUUAUGCUAUUCCGGAAAGAAAACACACCCAUGCUACCAGCACCGAAAUUCUGAAUCCAUGUAUACAAGGUUUACUCAUGAACAUAUAUCUUUAAAAAAAAAAAAAACUGUGCAUGGAUUUCAAAAUUAUUUGCCCCAAGGAAUUCAUUUCCAUGAGCUUUUUGAAGUACCCUUGUAUUUACACAAGCACAUUCAUUCACUUCCUGCUCCACACAAGCACCGUGUUAGAAUUUGGGGAAUGGAUGAUAUGUUAGUGAAAAAACAACGUCUUUACAGAGCAGUGGACAAUGUCUUGGAUAUUUUUCUUCAGCUCCUUCCAUGCUAGGCAAAUGAGCCAGUAUUCUGAAGAUCUGUAGUAGAUAGUGACCCUCUUUUCUAAUUUUUGUUUUGUGUUUUACUUGUCUGCAGCCCGAGUGAUGGUAGGAAGAAAUUAGCAGAGACUGAAAUUGGGUUCAACUUGAUGGGCAUCUGCACCCCAUGUCUGUGCUGAACAGAGAGAACACCUUGCCUAGAGUGGUCACGCCCCCGGCACUGGGAGGACACUGCCACAAUUUUUAAUGGAGCCUGGACUGUGUUCUCCAUGGGGAUGCCCCUGCAACGUUGACCAAGGCUGCUGAGACUGCCAACAAGGUGAGGGCCUCCGGUCAGCGGUGGCGGCAGGUUGGGGCUGCCGGGAGGCCAGCCUGUCAUGGGUGGGCGUGGGGGUGUCUUGGAGAGGGACAGAUGAGGGGCUUGGAUUUGCCCUGAGGGGUGUGAUGGGGCUGCCAAAGAGUUAUGAGUAAACUGUAUGGGUACUGUGAUUUCAGUUAGCACAGCUGCUUGAUUGUGGAGUUGUCAGGUGACAGUUUCUAUGCAAGGUGCUGGGCUCUGGAUUCCAGGAUAUGGUUUUUCUCUGGUCACUAAGAGUGUAUGGAGUGUAUGCAGUGGAGGGUGGCCCAAGUGCUUGGGCUCCUGCACCCGCAUGGGAGACCAGGAGGAAGCACCUGGCUCCUGGCUUCGGAUCGGCAUAGCACCGGCCGUAGUGGCCAUUUGGGGAGUGAACCAAUGGAAGGAAGACCUUUCUCUCUGUCUCUCUCUGUCUAUAACACCACCUGUCAAAUAAAUUUAAAAAAAAAAAGAACAAUGAUUUAGUGUCUACUGACUCCCACCAUUUUGAGCAUCUUUAUGCCUUGUGCCAUAGGUUUCCAUAGGCCCAUCAGCAGGGAGCAGGGUUGGAAGUGGAACAGCUGGGACUCAAGCUGGUGCCCAUAUGGGAUGCCAGCAUCACAGGUGGCAGCUUUAUCCAUGUGUCACAAUGCCAGUCCUAAUUACUGAUGUUAUCAAUGUAUGUUUUUUUAAAAGAUUUAUUAUUUAUUUGAAAGGCAGAGUUACAGAGAGGCAGAGGCAGAGAGAGACAGACAGACAGACAGACUGACAGAGGUAUAGAGAGAUCUUCUAUCCUCUGGUUCACUCCCCAGAUGGCCGCAAUGGCCAGAGCUGCACCGAUCUGAAGCCAGGAGCUUCUUCUGGGUCUCCCAUGCUGGUGCAGGGGACCAAGGACUUGGGCCAUCUUCUACUGCUUUCCUAGGCCAAAGCGGAGCCAGAUCAGAAGUGAACGAGCACCCAUAUGGGAUGCCAGCACUGCAGGUGGAGGCUUUAGCCGCUGCACCACAGCGCUGGCCCCAUCAAUGUUGAAUUGACUUUUAGGCAUUAGCAGGUGGGCAGAUCAUAAAGAAUGCUGAUUUGAUGAUUUUCCUUUGAGGAAUAGGAAGUGUAAAAUCUUUGGAUGUGGGGAAAGUGUCUCCCUUUACAUCCAUACCUACCUGUACUUAGUAUAUACCAAGUUGAUCUCCUGUAUAUAAAGAUAAUGGAAAAUGAAUCUUGAUGAAGAAUGGGAUGGGAGAGGGAGUGGGAGAUGGGGUGGUUGUGGGUGGGAGGGAGGUUGUGAGGGGAGGGUCCGCUGUAAUCCAGAAGUUGUACUUUCAAAAUUUAGUUAUUAAAUAAAAGUUUAAAAAAAUGAAAAAUAACACUUGCUGUGAUACAUAAAGAGAGCAAGAAUACUCAAGUAGACCUGUGAACUACAGUGUGUUUGCUAAUCUUGAUUGAUGAGGGAAUGUGCACUACUAUUCUGUAGAUGAAAAUCAGGUAAGUCAGUGAUACUGCUUAUAUCAUCUCUCAAUAGUCCAUUAAAAUAUUACACAGUAAAGCAGAGCCACGCAGCUUUAUUGUGUAAGGACUUGAUAUUUUAGAUACAUUCCAGCUGUUCACGAUUUGCUUGAUGGUAGCUGUAGCCAUGGAGACAACUGUAGAGAUUACCAUGCUAAUCAGAUGAGUGCUGAAUCUUUUUAAAAUUCACUAUCAGUUUGUAUACAUCAAAGCUUAUCUCUAAAAUUAUGACCUUAGAUGAGCUAAAAGCAGAGCCCAUCUGCAGGUGAUUUUACUAAUUGGUUUCCGGAUCUUGUUAGCAAAUGCUAGAUUUAAGAAUUUUAAAUGAGCUGGCUGUUUUGACAUUGCACACAAAUUGGAAAAACAAUAAUAUUGAAUAUGCUAGUCCAGAAAAUUGGCAUUGGAAGAAUCUUUAAGUAUCUAAACUUCUUGGUUCCCACAUUAGAAGGCAGAAACUUUCAGAGACUUGUAGCUCAGAGAGACUUCUAGCUGAGUCCAAAUCAGAAUCUCAGGUUCGCUGGGCCUCAUAACAUUUUGUUGCUCAAGUCCACACAGACGCACUUUUAUGUCUGUGGUACAUGCCCAUUUUCUUCAAAUCAGCGACAACUUUUAAAGGUAUGUCAGGGAUAAAAUGAUUGCCACAAGUAAACUCGAGUUCUGAACCGAUGUUUGAUUUUCUUGAAACUCAGGUGGUCCUCUGUGCUGCUUUUUCACAUUCGUCUUUAUUAUUUUAUCUUUCAAGGUGCAAUUGUUUUGAUGUGAAACUUUGCCUAAUAAAUAUAAUCUAUAUCACCAAAAUUCUGAGCAAAAGGAAUAACAAAACAUGACAGUUUCUGGGCUGUGCCCCAUUCCCAUUCAUUGGAGCACUUUCCAUUGCUGUGGAGAUGAAGAACAUACACUGUUUUGUGAGAAAGACGUCUGACAGGGUGGGUCGUGUCCUCACAGAUAGCAGCUGCUGUCACAUGCAGUUUUUCCCAUGGUGAGACUGUUUUUUCUUGUUUUAUUUUCAUUGUGCUUUAAACAUGAUUUCAGAUUAUAAAUAUGUCUUACUUAGAUCAUUUCCUUA
Oryctolagus cuniculus (rabbit) is the source of this 7443-nucleotide non-coding RNA. The record is from RefSeq and is a predicted model, not a curated record. Lineage: Eukaryota; Metazoa; Chordata; Mammalia; Lagomorpha; Leporidae.